GAUGAACGCUGACAGAAUGCUUAACACAUGCAAGUCGACUUGAACUUCGGUUUGGGUGGCGGACGGGUGAGUAACGCGUAAAGAACUUGCCUCACAGAUAGGGACAACAUUUGGAAACGAAUGCUAAUACCUGAUAUUAUGAUUUUAGGGCAUCCUAGGAUUAUGAUAGCUAUAUGCGCUGUGAGAGAGCUUUGCGUCCCAUUAGCUAGUUGGAGAGGUAACGGCUCACCAAGGCGAGGAGGGGUAGCCGGCCUGGGAGGGUGAUCGGCGACAAGGGGACGGAGACACGGCCCUUAUGCCUACGGGAGGCAGCAGGGGGGAAUAUUGGACAAUGGACCAAGAGUCUGAUCCAGCAAUUCUGUGUGCACGAUGAAGUUUUUCGGAAUGUAAAGUGCUUGCAGUUGGGAAGAAAAAAAUGACGGUACCAACAGAAGAAGUGACGGCUAAAUACGUG
This 454-nucleotide ribosomal RNA is filed under the name uncultured bacterium. Its description in RNAcentral is "partial 16S ribosomal RNA". It matches the Rfam family "Bacterial small subunit ribosomal RNA", at positions 28 to 507 of the family's 1533-position model. The record is from RNAcentral.